This 479-nucleotide ribosomal RNA is filed under the name uncultured Saprospiraceae bacterium. Its description in RNAcentral is "bacterial SSU rRNA". It matches the Rfam family "Bacterial small subunit ribosomal RNA", at positions 28 to 505 of the family's 1533-position model. The record is from RNAcentral. Lineage: Bacteria; Pseudomonadati; Bacteroidota; Saprospiria; Saprospirales; Saprospiraceae.
GAUGAACGCUAGCGGAAGGCUUAAUACAUGCAAGUCGAGCGGUAGAAUUGACUUCGGUUAAUUUGAGAGCGGCGCACGGGUGAGUAACGCGUACAUGACCUACCCUUAAGAAGGGAAUAGCCCUGGGAAACUGGGAUUAAUGCCCUAUAGUAUUACAGAAGUUAGAGAUUUGUAAUUAAAGCUGAGGCGCUUAAGGAUGGAUGUGCGUCUGAUUAGCUAGUUGGUAAGAUAACGGCUUACCAAGGCGACGAUCAGUAGGGGGCGUGAGAGCGUGAUCCCCCACACGGGUACUGAGACACGGACCCGACUCCUACGGGAGGCAGCAGUAAGGAAUAUUGGACAAUGCUCGCAAGAGUGAUCCAGCCAUUCCGCGUGCAGGAUGACUGCCCUAUGGGUUGUAAACUGCUUUUAGAUAGGAAGAAAGUGUGAUAUUGAUAUCAUUUUGACGGUACUAUCAGAAUAAGGACCGGCUAACUCCG